GUAAGAGUAUGAGUAUGAUUCUUGCAAGUCUUGGGAUAAUUGAUAUUAUAAAGAAGUCUAAAUCAUGUUGACAAGAGUUAAUCCAAUCAUAUUGGUAUAUUGAGGACUCUUGUGUUUGCUCGUUUAUAGGACUCAUAUUGAUAUAAGGAAUGCAGUCUUGUAUUUCUUGUGGGAUUGUUAUAGGGGCAAUCCAGGUCUUGUAGGUCUUGUAGUAUAAAACCACAAGCCCCUGCUCUCACAAAAUACGCUCUUAUUGUUCCAAUUACCUAUAACUUGGAGAGCAUUGAGUUUUGCAAAGAGGAGAAGGUUGUGUGUAGAUUUCUCUAAUGGCUCUUAAUCCUAAUUUGUUGAACAUAGUUAUGAUAUGGUGUCUAGCACUUUCUUUCCUGUGAUCAAUGUCAUGAAGAACAUGUGUGUUGCUGUGGGAGAUAUUCAUCAGCCAAGCAUGUCGGGUUCUAUAAGAUGAGGCAGGAAACUCAAUAGCCUUAGGUUGGUAUAGACACAAAUCCAAUCUUCACCAUGUGUGGGAUAGGGAGAUCAUACAACAAACUAUGAAGGACUAUUGUGAUAGAACACACGGGAAAGACUUCGGCAAAUAGUUUGCAGGUAUGUGUUGCAGAUAUUACUUCAGUAUUUGCAUAUACAUAAUAUAUUUGGAGUUAUGAUUGUGAUUUAGUUGGUUAAAUCUUACGUUCUUGGCUAGUUUAUUAUAGAGCUUAUAUGGUUGCUCUAACAUGUGGUAUCAGAGCCAUAAGGAUUCAACCAUUAAAUUCAACUCAUGAUUAAGAAAUAUUGCAUAAAACCUCACUGCCUGGGUUUUCGAACUGAGCUUUAGGGCUCUUAGAAAUACAUAAAUUAAAAAACUAUGUAUUUUGUUUAUAAUAAAGUCGUUGGAAAAGGAAUCGUGAAACGGUGUCGUUUUAGGUAAUAUUUUAAUAACUAAAAUUUUUGUUGGCUGGGAGAUUUGGAUCUUUACCUUUGAUGGUGUUCUUCGGAAAAAGGGCUCUCCCUUGCUCAUCUAAAUCUAAAAUUAAGUCAAGAUUGAUGCUGAGAUUGAUACGGUCCUGAAACCAUUCAUAAAAGGGUAUGUAUUUUGAAAUCUUAUUGCAAUUUCCUGAAUUUUGUUUGACAUUUAGACUGAGUUAAAUGAAAUUGGUGUCAAGAUUAGUUCCUUGUUCUAAAACUUGUGUUUCUCUCAAUCUAGGGUUGACAUAACUUUUUCAUGCUUGCUUAUUUGAUGAUAAGUAUAGUAAUUUAGCAGUAUACAUCUCUCUUAAACAUCAUAAUUCUGAUUUUCGAAAUUAUUGCUUCCGCUGUGUCGAUUAUAUGAUGUCUGCAAAUUGAGAUAAUUUUGGUUUAUUAUUCCUCCUUGUAUUAUUAGUGUAAUGAAUAAACUUGUAUUCUGAUAUGCUAAUUGUGUUAUUAAGAACCAUUGAACAAAGAUCAUGUUAUUUGCAUUUUGAGAUUAUACUAUUAUUCUGGUUCUUCAUGUUGACGUUAACUCGUUCGUCAUUCUAUUGUUGCAAUGGUACGAGGUACAUGGGAAUUGGGAAUGAUGGCAAUCCGUAUGGAUGAGUCUCGAGCAUUGAUGGAUAAUUUGUUUCAUUGAUUUGGAGCCGAGGAAUUGCAAUUGGGUUGUCGAAUACGAGUCCAAUGAUGCAUUCAGGUAACUCAGUUCAUUGUUUCAUGCAUAAUUAAUUGUUCUCCUAUAUGUGUGAUUAUAGUGCGAUGAGUUGGAGCAUAAUGAAUUAGGGCUUUUGCUAUUCCGAGUAUGCUUGUUUAUUUUGUGAAGGCACAAUUAAACUCGAAAUCCCUAUAGAUGUCAACUUAUGAUUUAUAUGAGAUGACUGGAAUCAUUCUUUCUGACUAAAGAUUCAUUAGACUAAUAUUUGGUGUACACAUUGCUCUUCUAUUUUUGAGUUAGAGCCUGUGUAAUUAGAUUAGGUGGAAAAUAUUGUUUUGUUGCUAUUUUGUUGUCUCAAGCAGAUGUAAGAUUUCUCAUUAACUUGCUUGAAACUUGGAAGCUUGCAUCAUGAUUUUCCAUUAUGAAUUAUGAUAAUAGAAUUUGACUUAUUGUUGCUACCAAAUACAUGUGGCUUUUAUGUGGGUCUGAUUGGUUUGAAUUAUUCUAGAAAAGCAAAAUUAGAUUAUACGAGUAUCCAUAAUGAUGUUUUUAAAAUUAUGAGUGUAAUUCAUAUCCCAAUUUUGGUUAGACUAUAUAUAAUAGGUUUUGGGGGUGUUGCCAUAUAUGUGAAUGAUGUAGUUAGGAAUUUUUUGGUUCGUUAAUGCCAAUAUGUGCACUGUAUAACCAAAAAAAAAAAAAAAACAUGUGAAGGCUCUUGUGUUAGUACCUGUAUGAAAUGAUAUAAAUUGUUUAGUGAAACCUUGUUGGCAAGAAUGUAUUCUGAAACUCAUCUCACUUGAUAUAUUGUAAGUGUAAGAGAUUUGAUAUUAUGUAUUAAAUCUAUAAGUACACUAAAUUUUAUUGGAUGAUCAUCUUGAUUAUCUUGUUUUAUUCAAGAUGACUUGUGCCUUUAUAUCCAGACAUUAUCAAAUUUUAGUUGAUCUUGCUUGAUGGGUAUUGAACUAGUUAGGAUCAAAUUGAAUGCAAGAAUAUUGUGCUUGCUAUUCUAAUUUGAUUAUUGUUGAAACUGGUGAUUUUGGGUUUAUGUGAGAUAAGUUUUUCCGAAUGGAUUGUGACUAUCUUUUGAUACAUAGACUGUUUGCAUAAUGGUUUAGGUGUAUUUGACUAAACUGAGAUUAUGCAAUUGGUAAGGAAUCGAGAAUCAAUUGGUUCAUAUCUCCGGUUUCUUUAUUGGCUUUGCAGUACAUUCUGCUUAUGCUUAAGUGGGAGAAUCAUAUGUUCGAAUGUAAGCAUAAGGUUAUUUAGGCCGGCCAUUAUAAUUCAUUUGGAUGCUUGAAAACCAGAUUAUGGUUUUAUUGAAGCAAUUGGUAAUUAUUUAUGUUACUUAAUUUGUUUAAGUAAUGAGAAGUUUAGUGCUAUUUGUUGGAACUAAACUUAACUUGAUAUAGUGGGAGCAAAUCAAUUUAUGUGUUUGUUCUGGUCAAGUAAAAUCACAUUUUUGUAAAUACAAAUUGGAUGAAUGUGAUCAUGGAAUUUGUUUGCAUAUUGGUUGCGGCAAUUGAUCACAUUGAUAAGACAUUCAGUGUAUUGCAAUGACUGUUAGUUAAUACAGUUGAUAUUAACUUAUACUUAACUUGUUUGUGUUAAGUAUGGCCUAGAUAAGUGGGAGCAAAUUUGGUUUGGUUUUGCUAUAUUGGUUCACAUAAUUACAAAGUGCAAAUUAAGUAUGUUGUGACUUUUGAGUUAAUUCUGCAAUGUAACAUAAAAGAUUCUUAAGUUCAAUACUUUAAAAUGCAUAGGUAAGUUGUAUGUGAGGUUAAGCUUUUGUUAUCCAAAAGAUUUGGUGAUAUGAUAAAGCUAUUGAUUGAUAUAACUGUGCUAUUCAUACAAUUAUGAAUAAUUUUAAAUUGAUAGCCUACUGUCAAGAAUGUUUGGUAUUUUAUAUCAAUUUUGGGCUAUAUGAGUGGGAGUAGACAUCUUGGUUUACUCUUGAGCUUAGAUACAUUGCUAUGAACAUGAACUGGACAUUUUGAUUUGUAAGUUAAAUCUGUAUUUUGUGUUGCAGAGGCAAUUAUAAAUUCAUUGUUUUGGCUUAUGUAAGCUGGUUGUGUCUAUAUACUAGUGUGUUGAUGAAUGACUUAUGCGAUCACCUUUAUAAUAAUUUGAGAUGAUUAUCUGUUGUGAUGAAUCAUACUCAAGUGGGAGAAUGUAAGAGUAUGAGUAUGAUUCUUGCAAGUCUUGGGAUAAUUGAUAUUAUAAAGAAGUCUAAAUCAUGUUGACAAGAGUUAAUCCAAUCAUAUUGGUAUAUUGAGGACUCUUGUGUUUGCUCGUUUAUAGGACUCAUAUUGAUAUAAGGAAUGCAGUCUUGUAUUUCUUGUGGGAUUGUUAUAGGGCAAUCCAGGUUUUGUAGGUCUUGUAGUAUAAAACCACAAGCCCCUGCUCUCACAAAAUACGCUCUUAUUGUUCCAAUUACCUAUAACUUGGAGAGCAUUGAGUUUUGCAGAGAGGAGAAGGUUGUGUGUAGAUUUCUCUAAUGGCUCUUAAUCCUAAUUUGUUGAACAUAGUUAUGAUAUGGUGUCUAGCACUUUCUUUCCUGUGAUCAAUGUCGUGAAGAACAUGUGUGUUGCUGUGGGAGAUAUUCAUCAGCCAAGCAUGUCGGGUUCUAUAAGAUGAGGCAGGAAACUCAAUAGCCUUGGGUUGGUAUAGACACAAAUCCAAUCUUCACCAUGUGUGGGAUAGGGAGAUCAUACAACAAACUAUGAAGGACUAUUGUGAUAGAACACACGGGAAAGACUUCGGCAAAUAGUUUGCAGGUAUGUGUUGCAGAUAUUACUUCAGUAUUUGCAUAUACAUAAUAUAUUUGGAGUUAUGAUUGUGAUUUAGUUGGUUAAAUCUUACGUUCUUGGCUAGUUUAUU
This 4501-nucleotide long non-coding RNA is filed under the name Malus domestica (apple). RNAcentral describes it as "long non-coding RNA (MDOM_LNC019279)". The record is from RNAcentral. Lineage: Eukaryota; Viridiplantae; Streptophyta; Magnoliopsida; Rosales; Rosaceae.